CCUUGUACACACCGCUCGUCAAGCCAUGAGAGUCGGGAGGACCUGAAGCCAGUUGCUGCGAGGCGCUGUUUAGGGUUAAACCGAUGAUUAGGGCU
This 95-nucleotide ribosomal RNA is filed under the name uncultured bacterium. Its description in RNAcentral is "partial 16S ribosomal RNA". The record is from RNAcentral.